CCUUCUUCUUGUAGCUAAUGGUCAAUAGUUAGAAAGAACUUAGAAAAAAAUAAAUUGAAGGUGCUACCAAACUAAAAAAAAAUAUUCUAAUUCUAUUCAAAAUUUGGAACUGGUGCACCAUUCACAGCCAAUUUAAAAUGUACUUUUAAAACUAUCAAAAAGACAAAAGCAACAAAUACAAAAUAAACAACAAUUAACCAAAACAAAAACUCUUGUCACAGAUUGAUGAGAUUGGUGGAUUUAAUGUUCCAAAGUUCUUCAAUCAAAUGUGA
This is a non-coding RNA of Biomphalaria pfeifferi, 272 nucleotides long. The record is from the annotation of a GenBank genome assembly. NCBI's taxonomy places the organism in Eukaryota, Metazoa, Mollusca, Gastropoda, Planorbidae.